GGGGCUGUUAGGUAUUCGACAUCACAGUUAGUGAUCAUAAGAAAUCUGCAAGCUAAAAUAGCAUAUGAUUUAUUAUUCUCAAUAAUUAAAUGCAAACAACAUCUUACCUUUUUCUCGGAAACUAGCUUUAGUCUAACUUUUCUUUAAUCAUGUUUCGUGAACUCAUAGAAUGUUUUUUAUCAUCUGUAUGAGAAAGUACUUUAUAAAAAUGCUCUUAUCUUAAAUUAAGAAAAGAAUAAAUUUCUAUUAUUUUUUAGCUUGUAGUCACAUAUUUGAGUUGUGAUGGACGUGGGUUCAACUCCCACCAGCUCCA
This 313-nucleotide transfer-messenger RNA is filed under the name Gronococcus sybilensis. It matches the Rfam family "transfer-messenger RNA". From Rfam's summary of the family: Bacterial tmRNA, also known as 10Sa RNA or SsrA, is named for its dual tRNA and mRNA-like properties. Its role is to liberate the mRNA from a stalled ribosome. Lineage: Eukaryota; Rhodophyta; Bangiophyceae; Cavernulicolales; Cavernulicolaceae. The record is from RNAcentral.